GGCUGAAAAAAAAAAGUGACGCUAAAAUGGAAAAUGGGUCUCCCGUGACAUCUUCUCUAAAAAAAUUUAACUUCCCUCUCUCUUGCAAAUUUAGUUUUAGAUUUUUCUUCCAAAAACUAAUUUCAGAUCUCUCACCCAAUUUUUCAGUUCUCUCAACCCUAACAAAAUCGAAGAAUAGAAAAACCCUGUCUAGCUCUCGUGUCUCUCGCCUUAUCUCUCGUCGUCCUCGUCUAUGACAUCUGCCCAGCCAAACAACCACCAUCGCAGCACCAUUGUCUUCGAGCUCCGCCCAAUUGAUGCCUCAACGUGCCUAGGUUCGUCCCUUGUUGUUGACUGCCGCACCAGAAUCUUAGGCUUCAUUGGACGAUGCUAUAGUGGUCAAGUCUUCUCCCUGCAUUCAAUAAUUUUCCUUGUCUAGCAUGGGUUUCAUUUGAAAUUUUGAGUUUCUCCUAUUUAUUUUGGUCAUAUGGUGACCUUGAUGAUCUUGACAAGGGUCAUGUCUCUAAACAUUUGUUUGUUUGAUAGUCCUUUGAACUUUUCUUGAUAUUAUUUGGUCUAUAUUUGCUCUAUCCGAAACCAAAAGAAGAUUAUUAUCAAUUAGGAAGGUUGUACCA
Benincasa hispida (wax gourd) is the source of this 614-nucleotide long non-coding RNA. RefSeq lists it as uncharacterized. The record is from RefSeq and is a predicted model, not a curated record. Lineage: Eukaryota; Viridiplantae; Streptophyta; Magnoliopsida; Cucurbitales; Cucurbitaceae.